This 287-nucleotide long non-coding RNA is filed under the name Rattus norvegicus (Norway rat). RNAcentral describes it as "long non-coding RNA NONRATT013190". Lineage: Eukaryota; Metazoa; Chordata; Mammalia; Rodentia; Muridae. The record is from RNAcentral.
GCGAACCCCGUCCGUUUACCUUCUUUGCACACGAGCAGGGCCCCGACGAGGCCCGAGUUCAGGUCCCUCACGAGGUCCACAUGAGACAGAUGGGAGAGACACUGACUUACCCUCGGACGCCUUCCAGAAGGACAUACCGACAGCGUGGAGACUGACGGGAUGAGAAGCCAUGUUUUUGAGUGUGAUGACCACAGUGUCGUGAACCUCGGUCCAAAUGGUGGGGCCUAGGAGACCUGGUAAAGUGAGAAAACAAAUGAGAAUAAAACAUGUAAUUCUGGUCACUAUAA